Long non-coding RNA from Canis lupus familiaris (dog), 1385 nucleotides. RefSeq lists it as uncharacterized. The transcript has 3 exons. NCBI's taxonomy places the organism in Eukaryota, Metazoa, Chordata, Mammalia, Carnivora, Canidae. The record is from RefSeq and is a predicted model, not a curated record.
UGGGAAAGCGAGUUCCGGGGCUCGCCUGGAGACGGUCCGGAAGCUGCGGCGAGCGCAAACUUCGCGGGGUGCGCGGACCCAGUCCCUGGGGGUUGGGCGUCCCCGCCAGGCAGUCCUCGCAGCCUUCUUUCAGCCUCAGCUCCUCCACUCCUAACUCCUCGUGCGUAUCCCGCCUCGUUAGUUAGGAGGCGCGGUCUUCGGACUUGAGACCAAUCUAACCAUAAAAUUUGCGCGGCCGUUACUGCUUAAGCAAAGAAUGUGAGCUGUUUUUUGCCCAGACAUCAUAGUUCCUGGAGUAGCGAAGACUGUGGCAGGAAGCCGAAUAUCAAGAAGGAGCAGGAGCGACAGAUGAAGAAAAGUUUUUAGCUGGAGUCGUGCUUGACACAGAAAAAGGAAAUAAGCCAAGUCUGCGUGCGGUCGUCGCAGUGCUUAACCCCUUAGCUCGGUCCAGGGGGGAUCCUUGAUGCGCGAUGAGGGAACCCUGAUCCGGGAGAACAGUGCAGAAAGACAGGAGCGGACUGGGAAUUGCGCCUGGAUAAGUCCGUGUGUGGUAGUCCACUGUAGAAGGUGACCUUCCUUCACACGAGAGACAGGAGGAGGGGAGAAUUGCACGGAAGGAGUUGCCAGCAGUGGAAGCUGCUCCACAGGUUUCAAGUCUAAAAACUAGGAACUGUUCGGAUGAGAUCACAUUAAAGUAGAUUACAGUAACAACUAGAAAUGGUAAAGGAUCCAAAUUUGCAAGAGAUGCAGGUGCGAAUGUGAAUUGAAGAGGAGCUUGCAAGCACUACUUCAAAACUUAAAACGCCUUUUUAUAGUUCCUUUUUCUCAAGCUUCCCCUGCUCUCCUGGCCCAGUACAUCCAGGCACUCCCAAAGGGAACAAUGAAUUUGUAAGAUUUUCGGGGAAUGUGUGGUUAUUGAAGAUCAUUAUUGGCAUUUAGAGUGCCAGUUCUAAGGAACACAAGACUUGUAAUGUUUGAAACAGUUUUGCACAAGGAAGAAUUAUCCUGAGUUCCAUACAACAUUCAAUCAGACAGUAACAUAAGUGAAAAAAUUGAUCAUAAUUGUUUAAACCAGGAUCAACUUUUAAAUACAAGUGCACAAGUGUUGGGUUUUUGUUUUUUGUAGCUUUAAAAUACACUAUUUCCAGAAAUACAACUGUAUGUAAACCAGGGGAAGAUUCUAUUUUAUUUUGUUCAGACCUGAUCAAGAGUUGUUUUCUCAUUUUAGAAAAUCUUACCACUGAGGGUAACUCACCUCAAGCUUUUGAGACAGAAAUGCAGCCCACUGAUAUCCGUCAGCUGGAUUAGUUGUGCCUAAUGAGCUUUAUUAUAAAUCUCUUCUGUUUCUCCACAUUUUGGGAGAGCAUUAAAACGAUUAAGAAAUU